Molecule: ribosomal RNA, 506 nt
Filed under: uncultured bacterium
Lineage: Bacteria
Description: partial 16S ribosomal RNA
Rfam family: Bacterial small subunit ribosomal RNA
Source: RNAcentral
GACGAACGCUGGCGGCGUGCUUAACACAUGCAAGUCGAACGGGCCUUGUCCCCUUUUUUUUGGGGGUGGGGUUAGUGGCGAACGGGUGAGUAACACGUGAGUAACCUGCCCCUCACUUCUGGAUAACCGCUUGAAAGGGUGGCUAAUACGGGGUGUUCUGGCCUGCUCGCAUGGGUGGGUUUGGAAAGAUUCGACCGGUUUUGGUUGUUUUGGUGGGGAUGGGCUCGCGGCCUAUCAGCUUGUUGGUGGGGUGAUGGCCUGCCAAGGCUUUGACGGGUAGCCGGCCUGAGAGGGUGGGCGGUCACACUGGGACUGAGACACGGCCCAGACUCCUACGGGAGGCAGCAGUGGGGAAUAUUGCACAAUGGGCGCAAGCCUGAUGCAGCGACGCCGCGUGAGGGAGGGAGGCCUUCGGGUUGUGAACCUCUUUCGCCAGUGAAGAAGGUCCUGCUCUUUGUGGUGGGGUUGACGGUAGCUGGGUUAAUGAAGCGCCGGCUAACUACGUG